This 253-nucleotide ribosomal RNA is filed under the name uncultured bacterium. RNAcentral describes it as "partial 16S ribosomal RNA". It matches the Rfam family "Bacterial small subunit ribosomal RNA", at positions 524 to 776 of the family's 1533-position model. The record is from RNAcentral.
UACGGGGGGGGCAAGCGUUGUUCGGAAUUACUGGGCGUAAAGGGCUCGUAGGCGGCCAACUAAGUCAGACGUGAAAUCCCUCGGCUUAACCGGGGAACUGCAUCUGAUACUGGGAGGCUAGAGUGCGGGAGAGGGAUGCGGAAUUCCAGGUGUAGCGGUGAAAUGCGUAGAUAUCUGGAGGAACACCGGUGGCGAAGGCGGCAUCCUGGACCGACACUGACGCUGAGGCGCGAAAGCUAGGGUAGCAAACGGG